RNAcentral lists this ribosomal RNA (577 nucleotides) under uncultured bacterium. RNAcentral's name for it is "bacterial SSU rRNA". It matches the Rfam family "Bacterial small subunit ribosomal RNA", at positions 340 to 916 of the family's 1533-position model. The record is from RNAcentral.
UACGGGAGGCAGCAGUGAGGAAUAUUGGUCAAUGGGCGAGAGCCUGAACCAGCCAAGUAGCGUGAAGGAUGACUGCCCUAUGGGUUGUAAACUUCUUUUAUAAAGGAAUAAAGUCGGGUAUGNAUACCCGUUUGCAUGUACUUUAUGAAUAAGGAUCGGCUAACUCCGUGCCAGCAGCCGCGGUAAUACGGAGGAUCCGAGCGUUAUCCGGAUUUAUUGGGUUUAAAGGGAGCGUAGAUGGAUGUUUAAGUCAGUUGUGAAAGUUUGCGGCUCAACCGUAAAAUUGCAGUUGAUACUGGAUAUCUUGAGUGCAGUUGAGGCAGGCGGAAUUCGUGGUGUAGCGGUGAAAUGCUUAGAUAUCACGAAGAACUCCGAUUGCGAAGGCAGCCUGCUAAGCUGCAACUGACAUUGAGGCUCGAAAGUGUGGGUAUCAAACAGGAUUAGAUACCCUGGUAGUCCACACGGUAAACGAUGAAUACUCGCUGUUUGCGAUAUACNGCAAGCGGCCAAGCGAAAGCGUUAAGUAUUCCACCUGGGGAGUACGCCGGCAACGGUGAAACUCAAAGGAAAUUGACGG